UACGAAGGGGGGCUAGCGUUGCUCGGAAUUACUGGGCGUAAAGGGAGCGUAGGCGGACAUUUAAGUCAGGGGUGAAAUCCCGGGGCUCAACCCCGGAACGGCCUUUGAUACUGGGUGUCUUGAGUUCGGAAGAGGUGAGUGGAAUUGCGAGUGUAGAGGUGAAAUUCGUAGAUAUUCGCAAGAACACCAGUGGCGAAGGCGGCUCACUGGCCCGGUACUGACGCUGAGGUGCGAAAGCGUGGGGAGCAAACAGG
This 254-nucleotide ribosomal RNA is filed under the name uncultured bacterium. Its description in RNAcentral is "partial 16S ribosomal RNA". It matches the Rfam family "Bacterial small subunit ribosomal RNA", at positions 524 to 776 of the family's 1533-position model. The record is from RNAcentral.